This 377-nucleotide ribosomal RNA is filed under the name uncultured bacterium. Its description in RNAcentral is "bacterial SSU rRNA". It matches the Rfam family "Bacterial small subunit ribosomal RNA", at positions 521 to 896 of the family's 1533-position model. The record is from RNAcentral.
UAAAACGUAGGAGACGAGCGUUAUCCGGAUUUACUGGGCGUAAAGCGUGUGCAGGCGGUUCGGCAAGUUGGAUGUGAAAUCUCCCGGCUCAACUGGGAGGGGUCGUUCAAUACUACCGAACUUGAGGUCAUCAGAGGAAGAUGGAAUUCCCGGUGUAGUGGUGAAAUGCGUAGAUAUCGGGAGGAACACCAGUGGCGAAGGCGGUCUUCUGGGAUGAUCCUGACGCUCAGACACGAAAGCUAGGGGAGCGAACGGGAUUAGAGACCCCGGUAGUCCUAGCUGUAAACGAUGUAGACUUGGCGUCGGAGGGUUCAAAACCUUCGGUGUCGUAGCUAACGCGAUAAGUCUACCGCCUGGGGACUACGGCCGCAAGGUUA